Molecule: microRNA precursor, 59 nt
Filed under: Mesocestoides corti
Lineage: Eukaryota; Metazoa; Platyhelminthes; Cestoda; Cyclophyllidea; Mesocestoididae
Description: microRNA mco-mir-7a precursor
Gene: mco-mir-7a
Source: miRBase by way of RNAcentral
UGGAAGACUGGUGAUAUGUUGUGGAGACCUCGCAGAACAGCGUAUCCCAGUUUGCCCUA